RNAcentral lists this ribosomal RNA (425 nucleotides) under Geastrum taylorii. Its description in RNAcentral is "partial small subunit ribosomal RNA". It matches the Rfam family "Bacterial small subunit ribosomal RNA", at positions 514 to 928 of the family's 1533-position model. The record is from RNAcentral. Lineage: Eukaryota; Fungi; Basidiomycota; Agaricomycetes; Geastrales; Geastraceae.
GACUCGGUAAGGCCAGAGACGCAAGCGUUAGUCAUCUUGAUCAGGCGUAAAGGGUAUGUAGGCUGCUUUAAAAAAAUAUUUAUAACAAAAAAAUUUUUUUUUUAUAAAUAUUUGUAUAAUUAAAGCUAGAAUCAAAUAGAGGUCACGAAUUUAAAAAUGAAAGACAACUUCUAGUGGAAGGUCGAUAUCUGUAGAUAUUAGGAGGAGUACUAAUUAGCGAAAGCUCUUUUCCAUCUAAUGAUUGACGCUGAGAUACGAAGGGGAGGAUAGACAAUAGGAUUAGAUACCCUAGCAUCCCUCCCUGUAAACGAUGAAUGGUAGUUGCUAGAUGUAGAAUUUAGUGGCGAAGCUAACGCCUUAACCAUUCCGCCUUGUAAGUACGGUCGCAAGUCUGAAAACAAAAAAAUUAGUCGGUUUCGGAGCAA